AACCUUAUGGACCUGCGGGCGUAUACCUGCGGAGGGAUCAUUACCUUUUCCAACACGAGAUCCGUCCCCGGGGGGAGGCAACCCCUUCCCGGGCGGCGGUCCCGCGUUUCCACCCUCUUUUACGAGCACCUUUCCUUCUUCCUCGGCGGGGCGACCCGCCGGCGGAACCAACCACGAACCCUUUAUUGCAUCGAAAGAAGUACUGUUCUGAUAAACCAAAAUCGUUACAACUUUUAGCAA
This 240-nucleotide unclassified non-coding RNA is filed under the name soil metagenome. Its description in RNAcentral is "partial contains 5.8S ribosomal RNA, internal transcribed spacer 2, and large subunit ribosomal RNA". The record is from RNAcentral.